CUUUAAUAGUAUUCAGAAUUUAUUUGUGAGAUUGAAUUCUCUUUGUUCUCUUUGAACACCUAAAACACCAUUAGUGAAUGAGUGUUUUAGUUUGACUUACCAAUAGGAUAUCCAUCACCUAUCGUGGCGUCUUCAUUAUACCAAAGUUUCUAAUCACAGGUUGGUUAGGGGUCAAGGUGACCAUUAGAACUUGAACAUAAUUAGAUUUGAGCUAAUAUAGUACGAGUUUCGGUGCAAGUCGUCCUACGUUCGUAUCAGAUGAAUCAAGGCCUAAGAUCAGGCCGAAAGGCGUAGUCGAUGGGCAACAGGUGAACACUCUGUACUACCCCUGGAGGCUAGGUUAGCCAAAAUAUGGUUAUCGGUUCAAGGAUGUAAGGUGCCUUUACUUUUCCAGGGUAAGAAGGGGUAGAGAAAAUGCCCUGAGCCAAUGUUCAGGUACCAAGCGCUACGGCGCUAAAGUAACCUAUGCCGUACUCCUAGGAAAAGCUCAAACAACCUUACAAAAUAGUACCUAUACCAAAAAUCAACACAGGUGGGUAGGUGGAGAAUACCUAGGGGUGUGUGAUGUGAUUCCGCCCGAGCCCGCUCAAUCGAUAACCCGCUGGGGUGCCGAUCCGUUACGGAUGAAGGUGGGACCAACCACUAAAGCACAAGCCAAGAAGUUCAAGGAUAACCUUGCUGUGCUUACUCAAAGGAUAAAUUAUAAUCAAGAAGGAUUGAUCAUGACCAAAUAACCAAGACCUGUUUUGCUGAUACAAGCACUGGAGACUGGUACGGACCCGAAUGACGGUUUUGGUACAUUUUUGGAGUCUGGGAAGCAUGAAAUGGUUCCAUUGAUUUAUGGGUUCAAUACAUAUGCCUAAUAGGUCAUGGAAUCAAGUUAAAGCAGCCUCAAAUGCAAUCAAAAAGGGCUUGUACGGACAGCAUCAACAAUUUGGCCGAAUUUGCUGUAUUGCUUGCUGGCUUUACUGUAUUUUACUGUAUUAGCCUUUUCUUAUUUUUCCAAGCAUGGGCAACGUGUGGGACUUCAUAUUCAGCUUAUUUGGCAUCCUAAAAAGCAUCUAGAAGCUGAUUUGAAGCUCAAAGAGGUCAAAGAUUGAUCAAAGUCAACUUGAUCAAAAGGCUAGCAUUUUUAGUUUCCUAAUUUGUUUUUACUUUUUGUUUUAGGAAACUACCAUUACUUUUUGGCUUUUAUUUAUUUAUUUUCUGGACAAAUAACUUUAGGAAGGUUUUUAUUUUAUUCUUUCCAUUGUAAAUUAAUUAAUUCCUAAUUUAAUAUAAAGGAAUUAAUUAAUCAAACUUAGAUUAGGAAAGGAAGUAUAGUUUCGGCCAACUAGGUUUCUUUAUGUGUAGUGGCCGGUUUUCUUUAUGUUCUAGGGUUUUAUUUCGUGGCUUUGUAUCCUAUUUAAAGGCUUAUUUUUCAAUAAGAAUACAACUUUGAUUUGAUUGAGAAAAUACUUGUGAGAUUAAUUAUCUCUUUGUUCUUUGAGAACACCUAAAACACCAUUAGAGAAUCGGUUGUUUUAGCUUGACUUAUCAAUAGGUUUUCCAUCCCCUAUUGUGGCGCCUACAUUAUACCAAGGUUUCUAACCACAGGUUGGUUAGGGGUUGAGGUCAAUUCCACUAGAACUUGAUCUUAAUUAAGAUCUGGGCCAAUAUAAUACGGGUUUAGGAGCAGGUCGUCCUAGGUUCGUAUCAGUGUGAGACAACUGUCUCUAAGGAACUCAGCAAACUAGCCCCAUAAAUUAAAGAGAAAGGGUGUCUCCUCACAAAAGGGGUUGCAGUGAUCAAGCCGGGGUGACUGUUUACCAAAAACACAGGUCUCCGCAAAGUCAUAAGACUAUGUCUAGGGGCUAACACCUACCCAAUACUAUGAGGUCAAGGAAUUUGUUGACCUGAUGACAUGGAAGCCCGUGACUGAAGCCCCGGUGAACGGUGGCCGUAACUAUAACGGUCCUAAGGUAGCGAAAUUCCUUGUUGGAUAAGUUUAGACCCGUACGAAAGGCAUAAUGAUCUAGACAUGUCUAUGAAGAUGCCAACUAUCUGCACUUGGACAUAAAGACCCUAUGAAGCUUUACUGUUCCCUGGGAUUGGCUUUAGGCCUUUCCUGCGCAGCCUAGGUGGAGGGCAAAGAACGCCUCCUUCUAAGGGGCCCGAGCCAUCAAUGAGAUACCAAUCUGGAAGACCUAGAAUUCUAACCUUGUGUCAGGACCUAUGAGCCAAGGGAUAGUCUUAGGUAGAUAGUUUCUAUAGGGCAUAGUCCACCCAAAAGGAAAUGGAGGCAUGUAAAAGUUUCCUCAAGCUAGACAGAGAUUGGCCCUUGAGUGUAAAGUCGAACAGGGAUGAAAGUCGGCCUUAGUGAUCCAACGAUGCCGAGUGGAAAGGCCAUCGCUCAAUGGAUAAAAGUUAUUCUAGGGAUAACAGGUUGAUCUUCCCGAAGAGCUCACAUCGAUGGGAAGGUUUAGCACCUCAAUGUUGGCUUUUCGCCACCGAAGGUUGUAGUAUGUUCCAAAGGUUGUGUUGUUCGCUCAUUAAAGCAAUACAUGAGCUAGGUUCAGAACGUUGUGAGACAGUUCGGUCCAUAUCCGAUGUGGGCAUUAGAACAUUGAGAGGACAUUUCCCUAGUACAAGAGGAUCAGGAAGGAUGCAUGUCUGGUGUACCAGUUAUUGUGCCCACAGUAAACGCUAGGUAGCCAAGUGUGGAGCGGAUAACUGCUGAAAGCAUCUAAUUAGUAAGCUGAGCUCAAUAUUUGCGCUCUCCUACUCUAACUUCCCUAGAGCUUUUAAUAGCAUAGCCAAGACAACAAUGGGUUUUCUACCCCUGCAAGGGUGAAGCGAUUGAAGUUUUGAGAAUUCCAGAGAAUGUCACGAUGAGAGGAGCUGUUUGUCAUUACAAUAGGUCUCAAGUGGAAGUGCAGUGAUAUAUGCAGUUGAGGCAUCCUAACAGACCGGUAGACUUGAAC
Molecule: ribosomal RNA, 2963 nt
Filed under: Ziziphus jujuba (common jujube)
Lineage: Eukaryota; Viridiplantae; Streptophyta; Magnoliopsida; Rosales; Rhamnaceae
Description: bacterial LSU rRNA
Rfam family: Bacterial large subunit ribosomal RNA (bases 1591-2963)
Source: RNAcentral